CAGGGAAUCAGUUCGCUAGAUACGCCGGUCACCCUUGUUUCCGGUCACUGUAAACGUCUCGAUCCACCGUCAAAUGUGCUUACGACUUUAGGAUUUCUUUCUGGUCGUCCGGAUUAGCGUGAAGGAAAGUCGGCGAGGAGCAAUAGGACCCGAGUCGGUGUGCACCGUUACUCUCUGCAUUUUGAGGUCUUCGCCUGCACCUAAGGCCCUCCCUGCCAGGCGCAUCAUGGCCCUUGAGAUUGCACAGUGCGGCGAGCAGGCG
Molecule: long non-coding RNA, 262 nt
Organism: Thrips palmi
Lineage: Eukaryota; Metazoa; Arthropoda; Insecta; Thysanoptera; Thripidae
Exons: 3
Source: RefSeq, a predicted model, not a curated record